RNAcentral lists this ribosomal RNA (85 nucleotides) under Flavobacteriaceae bacterium. RNAcentral's name for it is "partial 16S ribosomal RNA". It matches the Rfam family "Bacterial small subunit ribosomal RNA", at positions 1 to 81 of the family's 1533-position model. The record is from RNAcentral. Lineage: Bacteria; Pseudomonadati; Bacteroidota; Flavobacteriia; Flavobacteriales; Flavobacteriaceae.
UUUUACAACGAAGAGUUUGAUCCUGGCUCAGGAUGAACGCUAGCUGCAGGCUUAAUACAUGCAAGUCGAGGGGUAACAGAGAGUG